RNAcentral lists this long non-coding RNA (340 nucleotides) under Phaseolus vulgaris (common bean). RNAcentral's name for it is "long non-coding RNA (PVUL_LNC003276)". Lineage: Eukaryota; Viridiplantae; Streptophyta; Magnoliopsida; Fabales; Fabaceae. The record is from RNAcentral.
AUCCAAGAAAUUGAAUGUGAUGAAGAUAGACAUGGCAAAACUUGAAUGGUACAAGAAGCAUUGUAAAGGUCAGGGUAAUGGAUACUAUGACUGCUUCAAAAAGGCUAUCUCAACAGCUGACCAAGAUGCUGUUCAGUGGCAGAAAAACCUCAGAAACUACUGGAGUGACAUGGUUGAAGAGGCAGAGAUGAAACCUCAGACAGAAGCUGCAGCUUUUCGCAUUCGCUGGCUUUAUGCUGGAACUAACUACAGGAGAAUGGUUGAACCCCUAGACAUAGCCGAAUACUAUGCAAAUGGUCGUCGGAAGGACUAUGUGGCUAAAGGAAGGUCUAGACAUUAU